GAUGAACGCUAGCUACAGGCUUAACACAUGCAAGUCGAGGGGAAACGAUAUUGGAAGCUUGCUUCCGAUAGGCGUCGACCGGCGCACGGGUGAGUAACGCGUAUCCAACCUGCCCAUCACUUGGGGAUAACCUUGCGAAAGUAAGACUAAUACCCAAUGAUAUCCGUCGAAGACAUCUGAAGUGGAUUAAAGAUUCAUCGGUGAUGGAUGGGGAUGCGUCUGAUUAGCUUGUUGGCGGGGUAACGGCCCACCAAGGCGACGAUCAGUAGGGGUUCUGAGAGGAAGGUCCCCCACAUUGGAACUGAGACACGGUCCAAACUCCUACGGGAGGCAGCAGUGAGGAAUAUUGGUCAAUGGACGAGAGUCUGAACCAGCCAAGUAGCGUGCAGGAUGACGGCCCUAUGGGUUGUAAACUGCUUUUAUAAGGGAAUAAAGUGAGUCUCGUGAGACUUUUUGCAUGUACCUUAUGAAUAAGGACCGGCUAAUUCCGUGCCAGCCGCCGCGGUAA
Molecule: ribosomal RNA, 508 nt
Filed under: uncultured bacterium
Lineage: Bacteria
Description: partial 16S ribosomal RNA
Rfam family: Bacterial small subunit ribosomal RNA
Source: RNAcentral